RNAcentral lists this unclassified non-coding RNA (696 nucleotides) under Hevea brasiliensis (rubber tree). Lineage: Eukaryota; Viridiplantae; Streptophyta; Magnoliopsida; Malpighiales; Euphorbiaceae. The record is from RNAcentral.
ACAAGCUUUAUUUUCGCAGAAAAUCUCUAAAGGCUACAAUUCUCAUCAAAGAGCCAACAAUUGUAAAUAAUUAAGGUGUUUAUCUGCUUGCCUAACAGGCCGACUUUAUUCUCUUGCAAUAACCAAAGCGUUUAUCUGCCUGCCUAACAGCCGACUUUACUCGCCCGCUAUAACUAAAGCGUUUAUCCGCUUGCCUAACAUGCCGAUUUUACUUGCCCGCCAUAACUAAGGUGUUUAUUCACCUAUCUAAUGGGCUGAUUUUACUCGCCUAUCAUAACUAAGGCAUUUAUCCGCCUACUUAAUGGGCCAACUUUACUCGCUUGCCCUAACUAAGGUGUACAUCCGCCUGCCUACUAGGCUGAAUUUACUUGUCCUCCCUGACUAAUGCAUUUAUCUGCUCGUCUAACGGGCUGACUUUACUUACUUGCCCUGACUAAGGCAUUUAUCUGCCUACCUACCGAGCCGACUUUACUCGCCCACCUUGAUUAAGAUGUUUAUCUGCUUGCCUAAUAGGCCGACUUUACUCGCUUGCCCUGACUAAGGUGUUUAUUUGCCUGCCCAUUGAGAUGAUCAUUCUCCCAUUCGAACCUAAGGUGUAUAUCCGUCUACCAAGAAGACUAAAGCAUUUAUUUGCUUGGCUACCAGAUUGAUCACUCGACCAUCCUAUCUAAGGCAUAUAUCUGCUUGUCUCGCCCA